Molecule: ribosomal RNA, 443 nt
Filed under: Colletotrichum gloeosporioides
Lineage: Eukaryota; Fungi; Ascomycota; Sordariomycetes; Glomerellales; Glomerellaceae
Description: eukaryotic LSU rRNA
Rfam family: Eukaryotic large subunit ribosomal RNA (bases 2-285)
Source: RNAcentral
CAAUGUUUAAAAGCACUUUGAAAGAGGGUUAAACAGCACGUGAAAUUGUUAAAAGGGAAGCGCUUGUGACCAGACUUGCGUCCGGUGAAUCACCCAGCUCUCGCGGCUGGGGCACUUCGCCGGCUCAGGCCAGCAUCAGCUCGCUGUCGGGGACAAAAGCUUCAGGAACGUAGCUCUCUUCGGGGAGUGUUAUAGCCUGUUGCAUAAUACCCUUCGGCGGGCUGAGGUACGCGCUCCGCAAGGAUGCUGGCAUAAUGGUCAUCAGCGACCCGUCUUGAAACACGGACCAAGACGGGUCGCGAGUAAUUAUGCCACAUCCUUGCGGAGCGCGUACCUCCCCCCCGAAGGUUUUAGCCACAGGCUAUAACCUCCCCAAAAGAGCCACUUCCUGGGGGAUGAGUGGCCCCCACCACGACGUGAUGCUGGGCCGCUUUCCGCUAACU